Long non-coding RNA from Alligator mississippiensis (American alligator), 1588 nucleotides. RefSeq lists it as uncharacterized. The record is from RefSeq and is a predicted model, not a curated record. The transcript has 2 exons. NCBI's taxonomy places the organism in Eukaryota, Metazoa, Chordata, Crocodylia, Alligatoridae.
CCCGCCCAUUCAGGCCGGAUGGGGCAUCCAGCCAGGGCCCCGGCACGGACGCAGGAUUUGCCCUCUUCCUUUGGCCCUGCCCGGCUCCCUCCCCCGUCCCGGGAGGCAGAGGAAGCUGGACUGCGCCUCGUUCUUCCCGAUCGCCGUCGCUGUCAAUUGUCUCUCCUUUCAAGGAUGAUCUCUACCGUGGCUCAUUGAUGGGUCUUGAGGUGACUUCAGUCCAGUCCUCGAGCCACAGAUCGGUCCACAGAAGUUGCGGGUCUUUCUGCAGGGGAAGUAGGAUGCCGGCUGGGAUUUUGAUCCUUUUCCUUCUUUCGGACUCUGUCCGACCAGCAAGCACACACGAACCAUGGACACUAAUAUCACCCAGUCUGCAUUUAAAGAAAACUGUAAUGAUAUUGGUCAGCAUUUGGUUUAUACCGGGGUGCCAAACAUAAGGCCCCAACGCUGGAUUCAGCUUAUGAGCCAAUGAGCUCUGUUGCUGAACCAGCCCCAUGUGCUCUGUGCUGCAUAAUAUUCUUUCAAAGGAAGCCUUGUCUUUCAUGACAGUGGGCCAAAAGGACCCUGUAGUGACUUCUGAGUGUGCUCAGACCUAUAAACUACUAUUUUCCUACAACUUCUGGUGAAGACCUACAAGCACUUAAUAGCAGCGCUUAGAAAGAUUAAAUGCUCCUGAUUUAUUUUCAGAAAUGGACUUUUGCUGAUAUUUCUAGAUUGUGUCAUGAUUGCUAUGUUCAUCAGUUAAAGCCCUGAUCUCAUUAUUUCAGCAGCUGCAAACACAUGCUUACCGCUGUCUAAUUUGACCAAUGCAGCUACACUAAUUUCAGGCCAGUCGUUGAUGAAGUACAGCUUAGAGCAGUGGCUCUCAAUCUUUUCAGGAUCAGGGCUCCCCCUCCACCACUUCUAUGAAUUGGCAGCAUCUCCUAUUGAGAACUGUUGGUGCUUCCUCACUUCACUUCAGUGUUUCUUGACUUGACUGGGUAUUGCUGCCUGUGAUAAAACUGUCAGGCACCUGCUUAUCAGCCAGCCCAGGAAGAGCUGUGGCAUGUAUACAUAUUCCUCAUGCAGUAGGACUUUUGAUCAGCCUAAAGCAGGCAGGAGCCACCUCAUGCUGUGUAGCCCUUCCUGGUUCACCUGCCCCUUCCCCUGCUCCUGCCAGAAACGGGUACUUUAGUGGAACUGUCCUGUAAACCCCUGUCUCUUGGGGGAGUGUAGGAGGGGCCUGCCCAGGAAAGGCUAAGAUGAGCUAGCUCCUGCCUACUUUAGGCUGAUCAGAAAGCAGCAGGAGUGUGCACCAGGGUAGUCUUACCUGGCUGCAGCCACAGUGCAACACCCUGGAUGAGAACCACUGGGUUAGAGAAAGAAGAGCCACCUUAAAAUCUUCCCAUUCUGCAGGCUUGUUGGUUGUGUAGUACAUCAGCUGAGAACCAACAGGGCUUGUGCUCAAUAGCUGUUGUUUCUGGCAGGUUGGGAAAAAAGUAUUCAGUGCAGUAUAGCAGAAUGCAAAUGGCUUCAUAAUGUCAGCUGUUAUGAGCAUUCAGAAGGGAUGGAACAUUCGAGGCCAUUGGUAAAGGACAUUGGCAGUGUG